This 497-nucleotide ribosomal RNA is filed under the name uncultured bacterium. RNAcentral describes it as "partial 16S ribosomal RNA". It matches the Rfam family "Bacterial small subunit ribosomal RNA", at positions 28 to 507 of the family's 1533-position model. The record is from RNAcentral.
GACGAACGCUGGCGGCGUGCCUAAUACAUGCAAGUUGAGCGAUGAAGAUUGGUGCUUGCACCAAUUUGAAGAGCAGCGAACGGGUGAGUAACGCGUGGGGAAUCUGCCUUUGAGCGGGGGACAACAUUUGGAAACGAAUGCUAAUACCGCAUAACAACUUUAAACAUAAGUUUUAAGUUUGAAAGAUGCAAUUGCAUCACUCAAAGAUGAUCCCGCGUUGUAUUAGCUAGUUGGUGAGGUAAAGGCUCACCAAGGCGAUGAUACAUAGCCGACCUGAGAGGGUGAUCGGCCACAUUGGGACUGAGACACGGCCCAAACUCCUACGGGAGGCAGCAGUAGGGAAUCUUCGGCAAUGGACGAAAGGCUGACUGAGCAACGCCGCGUGAGUGAAGAAGGUUGUCGGAUCGUAAAACUCUGUUGGUAGAGAAGAACGUUGGUGAGAGUGGAAAGCUCAUCAAGUGACGGUAACUACCCAGAAAGGGACGGCUAACUACGUG